UGUGGCCUACGGGACGCAGCAGUGGGGAAUAUUGGGCAAUGGGCGCAAGCCUGACCCAGCAACGCCGCGUGAAGGAAGAAGGCUUUCGGGUUGUAAACUUCUUUUCUCAGGGACGAAGAAAGUGACGGUACCUGAGGAAUAAGCCACGGCUAACUACGUGCCAGCAGCCGCGGUAAUACGUAGGUGGCAAGCGUUAUCCGGAUUUAUUGGGUGUAAAGGGCGUGUAGGCGGGAGCGCAAGUCAGUUGUGAAAACUCAGGGCUCAACCCUGAGCCCGCCUUUGAAACUGUGUUUCUUGAGUGCGGG
RNAcentral lists this ribosomal RNA (305 nucleotides) under uncultured bacterium. RNAcentral's name for it is "bacterial SSU rRNA". It matches the Rfam family "Bacterial small subunit ribosomal RNA", at positions 333 to 652 of the family's 1533-position model. The record is from RNAcentral.